UUAGCGCAUGUGAAUUUAGUGGUAGCAUGUAUAUAUUUACUGUAUAUCUUUGCAUUCUGUACCCCAAAUAAACGGACAAGAGCAUCAUUAUAUGUCACUUGAACGACUUCACCUUUGUUGGGACUGUCUAUUAUUAACACCUGAAGCUGAUGACAAUGUUUCUCCUGCAUGAACCUUACACGGGACUCAUUGCUCUCCUCUUUGGCCCAGCAACCGAGACUGAUCCUUUACUCUUUAACAGCUCCAAUAGGCUGCUGGUGACAGAGUGCCCUUUGGAAAACAGACUUGAAAAUGGCAAGACGCCUGCUGUAGCCUGUGGCUCUGCUCGUCUGAACCGUCUGGAGGUCACAUGACCAAAACCUGGAAGCUACACAGCAGAGAUUUCACAUUCAUCUGCCUUUCACCAUGUCAACCAUCCUGCCAGUCAAAAACUCCCAUGCUUUUAGCUCUUUCACGGAUAUUGACCUGUAAUGCUCAAACUGUUUUUGUGUGCUUGUACAUGUGUGUGUCGCAUGCAAGCGCUCACCGACUGAGCCUAAUUUUAAUUAGGACCAGUGAGGUGUCUAAUUAAAGAAGGGCUUGCUAAUUAAUUGCAUUAUGAACAGUAGAGAGAAGAGGGCCCUUAAGACAGAGAGGUGCUGCUCUGUGUUUUCAUCUGUUGGGGUGACACUAAUUGGUCUGGAUUUACAAUCUGGCAGAGAUACAAAGCGCUCCAAGUGAACUGGUGGUGCUUCUGGUCAAACAUGGCCUGUGCAACAUCAUGCUGGCCAGCUAAAUGGUUAGUUUUUCUACUCCAUUCACACAGAUAUCUUAUGUGUGAUCCUGGUGCUAUCACAGAUUUGAUUUCGAUCUAUUGAGAUAAGGUCGUCCACGUAAGGAGAACUUGCACAUAACCCAUCUUUUUUCACUCUCACUUCUGGCUAGUGUUGCCAGUUAUGUAAGGUACAUAGUUUCUCCUCAGCCAACAACAGUACUGACCUUGUGAUUGCCAUCUCUGAGUGUGGAACAAACAAAGGUUGACUAGCAGGCUGCUGAGACUGAGUUUCAAGUCAUACAUAUAACUUAUUUCUCCAUAAUGAUAGUGAAGAGCAAAUU
Molecule: long non-coding RNA, 1095 nt
Organism: Monopterus albus (swamp eel)
Lineage: Eukaryota; Metazoa; Chordata; Actinopteri; Synbranchiformes; Synbranchidae
Exons: 3
Source: RefSeq, a predicted model, not a curated record